RNA transcript from Bombus terrestris (buff-tailed bumblebee), 2896 nucleotides. It is a transcript of the gene named glycerol-3-phosphate dehydrogenase [NAD(+)], cytoplasmic, with no coding region annotated. The transcript has 8 exons. The record is from RefSeq and is a predicted model, not a curated record. Lineage: Eukaryota; Metazoa; Arthropoda; Insecta; Hymenoptera; Apidae.
CAAAUAAGAUACUUAUGAGUUAUCUAGUAGAUCAGUAUCACGCUAAUAAAUUUUUAAGUAUUUCAUCCGGUCUUAAAGAUAUUGAUUAGAUCGAAAAAUGAUGUAAUUCAUGUAAUUAUUUUCGAGUUCAUGCAAAAUAAGUUUAACGAAGAUAAUACACACAUAUAAAAUGCAAUGCAUCUUUAUCUUUAGAUAACAAUAAAUAUUUAGUUUUAUAUGCGCGCAAAUAGGUUCCUAAUGAACAUAUUCGCUAAAUAUCAAAAUGCAAUACGAUAUAUAAUUGCAAAUUGUUAAGACCAGUUUCAUUAUCAACUGACCCCGCGUAUCAACAACUUCAUAGAAAUAAAUUUACAAUUUAAUGUAAUUCCGAUAAAAAAUAGAGUAUAUUAAAUGACCACGAAAGUCAUUUCGCUAUUCCACUUUCCACGCAUCAAUCACCAGAAUUUCAUUACAUUUUGCAUGUCAUCCAUCAGCUAGCUGGUUAUUUUUUACUUCUCUCAUUGCGAAGCAUUAAAAAUCAUACAAACUCAUCAUUGUCAGUAAGAGCGGAAAUAUAAUCUCUUAACAUGAUGAUUAGACGUAUCUAUAGCGGCGCUGAAUUAACGAUAUUUUUUGGCGUAAUUUGCCACUUUACUUGCGAAAGCUUGCAUAUGAAUAUAUAUACAAGCUGUACAAAAGAAUUGGGGACAAACUUUAGUAACAUGUAGUACACAUCAAAAUAAGCAAAAAGAUCUUAAGACACGUUGAUCCGAAAGCCAUUAAUUAAUAAAUUAAAAAGAAUUGCGAGAAAACUCAACGAAUUGUGUAUGUUGAAAUGAACAGGGAAAAUAUUAAAUAUAUACUGUAAACUUUACAGGUAUGUGGAAAUAAUAUCUUACUGACAAAAAUACCUUGUAACACCGAAACUGAUGGUUUUUUGAUCCAUGUUUAUCAUGACCGUUUUGCUCGCUUUCAUGAAUACUAUAUGCUCCUAAAGUCUGUUCCUAAUUCUUUCGUACACCCUGUAUUUGUGUUAUAUCUAGUAUUAUUAUUAGCAUUAUUUUCUCAUCUUAUUUUAUAUACGCUUCUAAAAUUAAUCCUACGCUGUAAAAAGGACUAACGAUUUUUUACGAUUAAACCAAAGAAGAGCAAAUAUUGUAAACUCGAUAGCAUGGACGAUAAGAAUUAUUCAUUUUUGAUAUUGUUUUCUCGAAAACGACGUAUCACGUCACGAAUGAUAGAGUUGAAUAAACGAUAAACUUUGUAUCUUCGUACUUAUUUCAAUUACAUCAGAUUGCAUCAUUGGCAGACUCCGCAGUGCUAAUAAUAAAUAAAAAACAUAAUUUAACAUAGAAUAACUCAUUUUUAUUACAUCGUUCGUGCUUUGCGGCAAGUUUGUUUUUCUUUCGUAUUCUUUGCGGCUUUAAAUUUAUAAACUAUAUAACUUAAGAAGCUACUUAGAGAUUUCAUUAGAAAUUUAUCUAACUUCAGAACAAAAAUGAUAAAUCCAUCGAUCUAAAUCAAUAGCAAUAUGAAAGUCUUAGGAUAAAAGUCAUUUUUUCGUUCACGAUUUACUGCUAAUCUCAAGGUCUUUUUGGUCGAUUAGAUAUAUGAUUACAUUGCAUCUAAAUGUUACAAGGAGAUGUUGCCGUCCCAGACGUCGUUGAAGCUGCCAAAGAUGCGGAUAUUCUUAUUUUCGUAAUACCUCAUCAGUUUAUACGAACACUAUGUGCAACAUUGCUCGGUAAAAUUAAACCAACCGCGGUUGGUGUAUCAUUAAUUAAGGGUUUUGAUCGAGGUGAUGGAACGAAUAUCGAAUUAAUUUCCAAAAUCAUUGAAAAAAAUUUAAGAAUCCAAUGUUACGUUUUAAUGGGAGCAAAUCUAGCUAACGAAGUUGCCGAGGAGAAGUUCUGUGAAACAACUAUUGGUUGUAGAGAUAAACGUUUGGCCCCAGUGUUAAGGGACCUUAUUCAAACUCCUAAUUUCAGAGUUGUAGUUGUUGAAGACUGUGAAGCUGUUGAAGUAUGUGGUGCAUUAAAGAAUAUCGUGGCAUGCGCCGCUGGUUUCGUAGAUGGUAUGGGACUAGGUGAUAAUACAAAAGCUGCUGUUAUCAGAUUGGGAUUAAUGGAAAUGGUCAAGUUCGUAGACACAUUUUACAGUGGCUCGAAACUUUCAACGUUCUUCGAAAGUUGCGGUGUAGCAGAUUUGAUAACUACUUGCUACGGUGGAAGAAAUCGCAGAGUUUGCGAGCAAUAUGUUAAAACUGGAAAAACUAUUAGGCAGCUCGAAGAGGAACUUUUAGGUGGUCAAAAAUUGCAAGGACCAGCCACAGCUGAUGAAGUUCACGGAAUGCUAAAAGCUAAGAAUUUGCUAGAAAAAUUCCCGUUAUUUACUGCUGUACACCGCAUCUGCACUGAACAAAUAAGACCAGCAGAUUUACUUGACCAAAUUCGUAAUCAUCCUGAACAUGUGUUUGCACCAAAAACAUUGUAUAUGUACUAAGUAUUGUCCUCAUCUUCCCUUUUUAUCAUUUUUUGUGUUGAGAAACUGUAAAAAUUGUUUUUUAACAAGUACAAAACCCACUUAUAUCGGGUGAGAUAGAUAUCGGCCGUAUAUACGGAUGAGAUGCUGUAUCAUAUAGAAAUGUACAAAGAUAGGUGAGAACUGAUUAACACAUUCCAUCAAUAUAAAAGGAUAACAUUCCAAAUAAGAUGAAGAUCGAAGGUGGUAAAUGAAUACUAUAAGUUACGGAAUGUAAACAUCUUGACAGCUCUAAGAAAACACUUAGAAAUCAUUAAAAGGAAAAAUCAAUUAUUAGAAAAAAUGUAAUAUUACAGAUAUUUUGCAAUAAUUAGUUAUAAUUGGCUACUGUUUUUCUCCUGAUGAUUAAUAUACAAUUGUUCUAUAAAAUAUGUAA